Molecule: long non-coding RNA, 1246 nt
Organism: Ruditapes philippinarum (Manila clam)
Lineage: Eukaryota; Metazoa; Mollusca; Bivalvia; Venerida; Veneridae
Exons: 2
Source: RefSeq, a predicted model, not a curated record
ACAGAUAUAAGGCAGCAUGAAUAGUUAGUACUUGGUGUAUCUGCUGAUCAAUGUGUUUGUAAAAGAGAUGAGGCUGUAUAUCACCAGGUCUACUGCUGAAUGAUGGAAGGUUUACAGCUAAACAAUCCUAUGGUUGGAAUCAAUAUCCAGGGACAGCUCUCCCUUAAAGGGCCAAGUGUUGUGACCUUGUUAUUUGGCCAACAAAGGACAUAAAAGUCCUAAAGAUAGUUAUGAAGAAAGUUAUAUUGACUAUUAAACAUUUCAUCAAUUUAAAUUGAAUAAAGUACAUCAUGUAUAAUUUAAUACAUUCCAUAAUAACUUUGUUUCUACAUGCACAUGAAUAAAAAAAACACUUGAGUAUGGUCACAAAGAGAUAGUCAGUGAUCUACAAUUAUUACCCUGAAUGCAUGUAAGAAGCUUUAUGUGAAUGCUUUUUUUAUUAAUGAUUAAUGAAAACAUAUGCAUAGGUUAAGGUCUUUAAGUUGUUUCUGAGUGUAUACCUUGGAUGGUACAUGUUUGUACUGACUGUAUAUUCACUUUGUCUUAAGUGUCAAAACUAUAGCUAAAUCAAAUAUUUAUAUUUCUUGUAGUGAUAACUUUACUGAAUCAUUCUCUUGAAUAACAUUAUGAAAUGUUUGAUUCAUUUUCAAAACUUGAAAAGAAUACACAGCAAAAUGAUGUUCUUCUCUGUAUUCAAUUUGAUUAAAGUGACUUUACAAAAACAAAGAUUUAUGUAUUACAAUUCAUCUGAAAGUAAAAUAACAUGAGAUAAAUCAAAGUAACAUGUGUGUUUAUAUUGAUAUUUAUUGAUUUAUUGUUACUUGAAUGCAUUAAAAAUUGUUUGGAUGAAUAUUAAAAACAACAAAGAAAAUAACACAAAAGGGACAAUAAUGAAAAUAAACAAUCAGAACAAAAAGCUGUGAGACUUUCUACAGAAUUCCCUGGAAGUGACAUUUUAUAUUUAAUGUUCUAAAUUUAUUAUUUGUCUUAACUGCUCUUGUCUGAAUAGUGUCUUAACUGCUCUUGUCUGAAUAGUACCCUGUGUCUGUUAAAACAUAUUGUUUUUAUAAUGUUAUAUAGUUUCAAGAUUGUUUUCUAGCAGAUAUGUACAUCAAUUCUAAACAGGUAUUAUUAAAAAUUAAUAUGAAUUAAAAAAAAUUGUAACAUGUCAUUUCAAUGUCAUAAUUUUCUUUUCAAUAUGUAUUCAUUGUCAUACUGGAAUAAUAAUAAAAGACUUUGUAACAUU